RNAcentral lists this ribosomal RNA (499 nucleotides) under uncultured organism. RNAcentral's name for it is "bacterial SSU rRNA". It matches the Rfam family "Bacterial small subunit ribosomal RNA", at positions 28 to 507 of the family's 1533-position model. The record is from RNAcentral.
GAUGAACGCUGGCGGCGUGCCUAAUACAUGCAAGUCGAACGCACGACAAACACUAGCUUGCUAGAGGAUGAAGUGAGUGGCGAACGGGUGAGUAAUACAUAAGUAAUCUGCCCCUACACCUGGGAUAACUUUUGGAAACGGAAGCUAAUACCGGAUAGGUUUAUUGAAGGCAUCUUCGAUAAAUUAAAGAUGGGCUACAUCGAGUGGGGAUGAGCUUAUGGCGCAUUAGCUAGUUGGUAAGGUAAUGGCUUACCAAGGCGAUGAUGCGUAGCCGACCUGAGAGGGUGAUCGGCCACACUGGGACUGAGACACGGCCCAGACUCCUACGGGAGGCAGCAGUAGGGAAUUUUCGGCAAUGGGGGCAACCCUGACCGAGCAACGCCGCGUGAGUGAUGAAGGCCUUCGGGUUGUAAAGCUCUGUUGUAAGGGAAGAAUAGACAGAGUAGGGAAUGACUUUGUUGUGACGGUACCUUACCAGAAAGCCACGGCUAACUACGUG